RNAcentral lists this long non-coding RNA (399 nucleotides) under Equus caballus (horse). Its description in RNAcentral is "lncRNA (ENSECAG00000051415.1)". Lineage: Eukaryota; Metazoa; Chordata; Mammalia; Perissodactyla; Equidae. The record is from RNAcentral.
AUUCUGGAAGCCUGGAGACAGUUGAAGCUAUUUUCCGGGGUAGGGGGUAUCAGGCAGCACCUAAAACGAGUCUCUGAGGAUGGAAAGCACUGUGGUCUGUGCGUGGACUUGAGGCCGGUGAGAGGAGGGGCCAGAGCCGGGCAGGGAGUGCCGGCCCGCCCAUGUCAUCACUCACUCGCUGCCCACAGCACCCCACCUCAUAGAUACUGUCUACAGAUGACACACUGAGUCCCAGACAGGAGAUGCGGCUUGCCCAAGUCAGGCCUCUGCGAGAAGACAAAGGGGCACUGGAAUCCCCAUCAAAGGCCGCAGGACACAUGUUAGGCUGCCUGAAAUUUCCGCAACAGAAAAUCAUCCUGGUUAACAAGCAUCCACUUUCAAACCAAGUGUGCCUCUGGG